CGCUCGGCGGGGCCGGCUGCGCCGCCCGGGCCGGCCGGGCGAGGGGUGCGCAGUGGCCUUGCUUUGCCGGGCCCUUAUUUGGCCAAGCACAAAACUUUUCUUGCCCAGUGAUACUUCCUGACUGAUCUAAUACACGAAGAGGGUGCAAAAGGCGACCACCAUUUCUGUGCACGAUUUCUUGGGGCCGUACCAGUCUAGAAAGCCAAGGUGCAGCCAGCUGGAAUCAAUAAUACCCCUCUCAUGCUGAACUCAGUUGACCCCGGUUUCCUAGCAGAGCCUGACUCAGGCGGGCAGGUGUGGCGCUCUGCUCCAUGAACACAUUUUUGCCUCAACGCUCUACUGUCUCUAGGGUACUGGCCU
Molecule: long non-coding RNA, 360 nt
Organism: Lemur catta (Ring-tailed lemur)
Lineage: Eukaryota; Metazoa; Chordata; Mammalia; Primates; Lemuridae
Exons: 3
Source: RefSeq, a predicted model, not a curated record